GAUGAACGCUGGCGGCGUGCCUAAUACAUGCAAGUCGAGCGAACGGACGAGAAGCUUGCUUCUCUGAUGUUAGCGGCGGACGGGUGAGUAACACGUGGAUAACCUACCUAUAAGACUGGGAUAACUUCGGGAAACCGUAGCUAAUACCGGAUAAUAUUUUGAACCGCAUGGUUCAAAAGUGAAAGACGGUCUUGCUGUCACUUAUAGAUGGAUCCGCGCUGCAUUAGCUAGUUGGUAAGGUAACGGCUUACCAAGGCAACGAUGCAUAGCCGACCUGAGAGGGUGAUCGGCCACCCUGAAACUGAGACCCGGUCCAGACUCCUCCGGGAGGCGGCAGUAGGGAUUCUCCCGCAAGGGGCGAAGGCCUGCCGGAGCACCCCCGCGUGAGUGAUGAAGGUCUUCGGUCCGUAAAACUCUGUUAUUGGGGAAGACCAUUUGUGUAAGUAACGGUGCACAUCUUGCCGGUCCCUAUCAGAAAGCCACGGCUAACUACGU
Molecule: ribosomal RNA, 495 nt
Filed under: uncultured bacterium
Lineage: Bacteria
Description: partial 16S ribosomal RNA
Rfam family: Bacterial small subunit ribosomal RNA
Source: RNAcentral